UACGAGGGGGGCAAGUGUUGUUCGGAUUUACUGGGUGUAAAGGGAGCGCAGGCGGGAAAGCAAGUCAGAGGUGAAAUCCCCAUGCUUAACAUGGGUGCUGCCUUUGAUACUGCUUUUCUUGAGUGUUGGAGAGGGUAACGGAAUUCCAGGUGUAGCGGUGGAAUGCGUAGAUAUCUGGAAGAACACCAGUUGCGAAGGCGGUUACCUGGCCAAAUACUGACGCUCAUGCUCGAAAGCAGGGGGAGCAAACAGGAUUAGAUACCCUGGUAGUCCCUGCCCUAAACGAUGGACACUAGGUGUUGGAGGAGUUAAUCCUUCCAGCGCCGCAGCUAACGCAUUAAGUGUCCCACCUGGGGAGUACGGUCGCAAGGCUGAAACUCAAAGAAAUUGACGGGGGCCCGCACAAGCGGUGGAGUAUGUGGUUCAAUUCGACGCAACGCGAAGAACCUUACCUGGGCUUGACAUGAGGUGGACCAUUCCCAGAGAUGGGAACUUCUGUAGCAAUACAGACUGCCUACACAGGUGCUGCAUGGCUGUCGUCAGCUCGUGUCGUGAGAUAUUGGGUUAAGUCCCGCAACGAGCGCAACCCCUGUUCUUAGUUGCCAUCGGGUCAUGCCGGGCACUCUAAGAAGACCGCCUCGAAUAACGGGGAGGAAGGUGGGGAUGACGUCAAGUCAUCAUGGCCCUUACGUCUAGGGCUACACACGUACUACAAUGGCAGGCACAAAGGGUCGCAGAGCCGCGAGGUGAAGCUAAUCCCAAAAAUCCUGCCUCAGUUCAGAUUGCAGUCUGCAACUCGACUGCAUGAAGUUGGAAUCGCUAGUAAUCGCGGAUCAGCGUGCCGCGGUGAAUCCGUUCCCGGGCCUUGUACACACCGCCCGUCAAGCCAUGGAAGUCGGAAGUACCCAAAGUCGUUUGUUUAACCGCAAGGAGAGCAACGCCUAAGGUAAAGCCGAUGACUGGGGCU
RNAcentral lists this ribosomal RNA (967 nucleotides) under uncultured bacterium. RNAcentral's name for it is "bacterial SSU rRNA". It matches the Rfam family "Bacterial small subunit ribosomal RNA", at positions 524 to 1482 of the family's 1533-position model. The record is from RNAcentral.